CCUUUUAUAUAUUUAUUAAUGUCAAAUAAAUCGGAAAGAGCAUAUACACAUGCUCUUCAGUAUAUUAAUGCAAAGGUGCCCAAUUUGAAUCCAACAUCUGUGGUUACAGAUUUCGAAUUUAGUUUGCGUAACGCCAUCAAACAUGUCUUUCCUGCUGUUCAAUUGAAAAGUUGCUGGUUCCACUAUACGAAUGCUUUGCGACGAAAAGCUUCGAAAAUUUCUAACUUCAUUCGCAAUCUAAAUAAAGACAAACUAGCCAAAUCUAUAUUUCACAAAUUUCUAAUCUUACCACUACUGAAACCGACUGAUAUCAAAGAAGCAUUUAAAAUUUUAGAAAAAGAUGCUAUUAAUUUGAAAGAUACUACGAAAGAACAUAUGGAAAGAAGUUCUCUUCUUAAUGAAUUCUUGAAUUAUUACAGACGUCAGUGGAUGAAAAAGGAACGCCCUGAAAAUUUUUCGAUUUAUAAGGAACGCAUUACUACCAGCAGCUCUGCAGAAUCAUUUCACAGUCAAUUAAGAGCGAAAUUGCCAAAAAAAGGAAGGUUUUAUAGAUUUUUGGACAUUUUGACCGAUAUUGGUGCAACGAAAUCAAUGGAUUUUUUGAAAUCAAUUGGCGGAUGUACUAUUUUAUAUAAAGCUAAACAAAAAAGGUUUAAAACGCGUUCAAAUUUUGUUCGUGAACGCCUCCAUCUAAUGCAUCAAAAAAAAAUUACAUUAACAGACAUUCACAACCAGCUUUCAUUAAAAGAAAACUGCAUAUUCGCAGAAGAUUUUGUUAAUGAAAUUCCAAAUGAUGAUAAUGAUGAUGAUGAUGAUGAUGAGGAUGAAGAGGAUUAUGUUAAUACUGAACAAGUUGAUAAAUGCGAUGAAAAAAAAGAUUCCCUUUCUUUAACAUGCUAUCACAAAGAUCGCGAAGUUUUGUGUUUACCAUGUAAACAUUGCAAAAUUUGUCGCGAUUGCUUCAAAAAAAUAGAAGAAUCAUCGCAAAAUAAAGGAAUAAAAGUGUUGUGUCCAUUUUGCCGUUCCAUUGUUAAGGAUAGUAUGAUAAUUUAUAAUUAAAGGUUAACGUUUAUUAGGGUUUCAUUGCCUUUAAAUAAUUUUUUUCCAAAUGAAAUCGCAAAGUUGAGGAAUAAACAUUGUGUAAACGCAGAGAUUAUAAGUUUCCUUUCAUAUAAUUUACAAUAAAUAAUGGAUAUAGUUUUUUUUUUUUAUUUUUAUUAAUUUUUUAAAUUGUUGGCCUUUAACUGGCGGGGUGAUAUAACGUAAAAGGUGAUAAAGCAAAAUUUGCUUCACGUUAGCAGUUUUGUGGGGACGGCACAGCACGAGGCAGGAAAGCGGGGCAUGGCCCGGUUGUGAAAAUUUGUAUCUGGGAAAAACAAACAAACUUAUUCGCGAGCGGAGGGCGAUGGUAGGGGUUGUGGGGGCGCGCGCGAGGACGGCACAGCGCAGAGACGGCCACCAAACUAUAUAUACUCACAUUUUUCUCUAAAAUAUUGAAAGCGAAAUAAUGUCACAUUUUGUUUUCAGAAAAAAUGGUACAAAUAAUUGCAAAUGGUAAUAACGUCACUGCGGCUUUAUUUCCAUUUAAAUUGGAAAUAAUGUCCAGUGCCUUUAUUUCCAUUCCAAUUGGAAAUAAAGUCACAGUGACGUUAUUUCCAGUGACGUUAUUGCACCCCACCGUUCAAAACAGCAUUAGAACGAAUGCCAUCGGAUACGCACAAAUCUGUCAUAAGAGCGGAUUGUACCCCAACAGGUGAACAUGUGCGAAGAUUCAAUGCACCAACCGUUAAUGAUGUUCUUGCAAUUAUUGUUGGCGAUCCAACUAAAUCGCGAGACAUUGUCGUUCAGCGAAGAAGCAAUAUCAUGCAUCGUGUAAACGUGACACAUCGUUUGUACGAUGCGUUACAAUAUCCAAUCAUUUAUUGGCAAGGGCAGGACGGAUGCGACAUCACGUUGAAAAUGGUCGAUCCAAUUACAGGCGUAUCAACGAAUAAAAAUCUAAGCGCAAUGAAUUACUAUGCAUAUCGUAUGAUGAUUCGUACAAAUGAAGAGAAUGUCAUUCUGAAGUGCUGUCGGCUUUUCCAGCAAUUCGCUGUCGACAUGUAUGUCAAAGUCGAGACCGAACAUUUAGCGUUCAUCCGAAUCAAUCAGGCAAAUCUACGAUCAGAGGACUAAAUACACUUGCGUGAUGCUAUUCAUUCAGAUGGUGAUGUUCAGAAUAUUGGACUUGUGACGAUUCUCCCAUCAUCUUAUGUAUAUCGGAAGCCCACGCCAAAUGCACGAACACGCUCAAGACGCGAGGACGUACGUGCGAAAUUAUGGAACUCCGGAUUUAUUUAUUACGUUAACAUGCAAUCCGAAGUGGACGGAAAUUGAACGUGAGUUGGAACCGGGACAAAAACCGCAAGAUUGCCAUGACAUAAUCGCCAGAGUAUUUCAGCAAAAUCUAAACGUUGUGGUGGAUGUGCUGAAAUGUAAUUGUAAUGUAACGAUGCAAUUUGGUGGCGAAACGGAGUUCGCUGGGUUUUCUAGUUGAAUAUACAAUUAUACAGAAGCAUUUUGCCAAAAGCAAUUAUUUCAUAACUUGUGAUUUGAAAAAAAAUAGUAAGACUAAUAAUUAAUCUUAAUCGGAAUUAAAUGAAAU
This is an RNA transcript of Bactrocera tryoni, 2644 nucleotides long. RefSeq lists it as uncharacterized. The record is from RefSeq and is a predicted model, not a curated record. Lineage: Eukaryota; Metazoa; Arthropoda; Insecta; Diptera; Tephritidae. The transcript has 3 exons.